This is an RNA transcript of Phragmites australis (common reed), 1451 nucleotides long. RefSeq lists it as uncharacterized. NCBI's taxonomy places the organism in Eukaryota, Viridiplantae, Streptophyta, Magnoliopsida, Poales, Poaceae. The transcript is spliced from 2 exons. The record is from RefSeq and is a predicted model, not a curated record.
AAGCCAUCGAAGCCGGCUCCCGCAAAUCCCUAUCGAUUCGAGCCCAAUCGAACCCGCCCGCCUCCUCCCUCCUCACGUCCCAACCCCCCUCAAGAACCUCGCCGCCGCCGCCGCCGCCGCCGGCCGUUGUCUCCCCCCGACCGGCCUCCAUGGCUCGCAACGAGGAGAAGGCGCAGUCGAUGCUGAACCGCUUCAUCACGAUGAAGCAGGAGGAGAAGCGCAAGCCCCGCGAGCGCCGGCCCUACCUCGCAUCCGAAUGCCGCGACCUCGCCGACGCCGAGCGCUGGCGCUCCGAGAUCCUCCGCGAGAUUGGUGCCAAGGUCGCCGAGAUCCAGAACGAGGGCCUCGGCGAGCACCGCCUCCGCGACCUCAACGACGAGAUCAACAAGCUCCUCCGCGAGCGCGGCCACUGGGAGCGACGCAUCGUCGAGCUUGGCGGCCGCGACUACUCCCGCAGCUCCAACGCGCCGCUCAUGACCGACCUCGAUGGCAACAUCGUCGCCGUCCCCAACCCCUCCGGCCGUGGCCCCGGGUACCGCUACUUCGGCGCCGCCAGGAAGCUCCCCGGCGUGCGCGAGCUCUUCGAAAAGCCACCUGAGAUACGCAAGCGCCGCACCCGCUACGAGAUCCACAAGCGCAUCAACGCCGGCUACUACGGGUACUACGACGACGAGGACGGCGUGCUGGAGCCCCUCGAGGCCACCGCCGAGAAGCGCAUGCGGACGGAGAUCGUCAAUGAGUGGCACCGCGUGGAGAGGGUGCGGCGGGAAGCCAUGAAGGGGGUGGUGAGCGGCAAGGUGGCUGCGGCAGGUGGGCGCGGUGGGGAGGCUGCUAGGGAGGUGCUGUUUGAAGGGGUGGAGGAGGAGGUCGAGGAGGAGAGGAAGUACGAGGAAGAGAAAAGGGAAAGAGAGAAGGGGGAGGAGGCUGGGAGGGAAUUUGUUGCACAUGUGCCGCUACCCGAUGAGAAGGAGAUUGAGCGGAUGGUCUUAGAGAGGAAGAAGAAGGAGCUGCUUAGCAAGUAUGCCAGCGAUUCCCUGCAGGUCGAGCAGGAAGAGGCCAAGGAGAUGCUCAAUGUGCGACGCUAGAAGAGACGGUCCGUUCUUGAUUUCCAUGUCUUCGAUGAAUUUUUAUAGCUGAUGUAGUACGCUUGACUAAAGUACUGUAGGUUGGUCAACUGCCUCAUCGGUGGAUUCUUCAUGAUCUGGAGGCGAGCACCGGAGUGCACCAAGGAACAAUCUUUGCAGUUCUGGCCUCGACGCAACCCUAGAAGACAUUUGAUGUAAAAGAAAACUUAGGGUUUGUCUGGAUUACAUCGGUGUGUGUAAUCAGCUUUGAUGGGUGAUGGUUGGGUGGCAAGUCGAUAAACGUUAAACCUGCGGUUUGUGUACUGUAACUUUUAUCAUGUACAAACCAUUCCCUACACUGAUUGAUCUAUUAAAAUUUCAGUGAUA